RNAcentral lists this long non-coding RNA (924 nucleotides) under Homo sapiens (human). RNAcentral's name for it is "novel transcript". Lineage: Eukaryota; Metazoa; Chordata; Mammalia; Primates; Hominidae. The record is from RNAcentral.
AUUGUAUGUAACUGGUGACAUUUGAAAGAGACAUAUUGGACAGAAAUGACAUACGUGAAAGCUAAGAUACAAUAUAUUUAAUUUUCUAAGAAUUCAGUUCAAGGUAGUCUGCCUGGUUUCUCAAGUUCUGCAUGUUUCUUCAGUAGACUAAAUAAUGAUAAGGAAGCUGAGAUGUAGAGCUGAAGUGUCUUGCCCAAGAUCAUUUGUCUACCUAUGACCUGGCUCAACCCAGCUACAAGUUGUUAAUAAGAGGGAAGCAUAUCAGGAAAAUCUGAGUGCAAUGGUUUAGGAAUUGGGAAAGUAUAAAAGGUAUAGCACAACAGCACUAGACAACUGAGGUAGUCACCUACCUAAGGAGAGAUGCCAAGGACAAGUUGGCCAGCUAAACACUUUCUCCAGAAAUGGGAUUUAUAGUUUUGCUAAUUUCUUUAAUAUCAGAAGACAGCUGGAUUCUCAUUUCUGCUUCUGCAUUCAGUCUAUUGUGAUAUAGCAUAUCAUGUAACUUCUGAAAAACUUCACUGUACACAGAUGCUGACCUCACAGACUCCCUGAAAGGAUCUCCAUGACCUCUAUGGUUCCUUAGACUGCACUUUGAGAACUAUUGACGUACAGGGAAAAAUGCUCUUGGUGUUCCAGUUAAGCACAGAAUAAAAUCUGGACUGUGUCAGUUUGUAAAGAUCUUAUGUCUACUUGGUCAUCAGCCAAGAAGGGAUUCCGAAGAUAGAAGAGGAGGCAUCAACACCGUGAACAUCAUGGCUGAGUUAUUUUGUGAGAGGGAUAAGCCUAAAGUAAAAACCUUGGAUUUGCCUCUGUCCUUGAACAUGCUAUCUGGAAAGAGUUUUCUUAAAAGUAUUGUUGUGAACACAUCCAUUUUCCCAGUAUAGUUGAAUGCAGGGUUUAAUAAAUGGAAUGAAUCUAGUUUUA